Molecule: microRNA precursor, 88 nt
Organism: Caenorhabditis briggsae
Lineage: Eukaryota; Metazoa; Nematoda; Chromadorea; Rhabditida; Rhabditidae
Rfam family: mir-54 microRNA precursor family
Source: Rfam
GCCGAUCCUUGACUGGAACUUGGAUAUCGUUCGUAUACAGCAAAAUAGUCCUGUACCCGUACUUCCAACUUCCAAAUCAAGGAUCGUC